This 774-nucleotide ribosomal RNA is filed under the name uncultured Neocallimastigales. RNAcentral's name for it is "partial large subunit ribosomal RNA". It matches the Rfam family "Eukaryotic large subunit ribosomal RNA", at positions 26 to 634 of the family's 3401-position model. The record is from RNAcentral. Lineage: Eukaryota; Fungi; Neocallimastigomycota; Neocallimastigomycetes; Neocallimastigales.
CGCAUCUGUGCAUGCAGCAUAUCAAUAAGCGGAGGAAAAGAAACUAACAAGGAUUCCCCUAGUAACGGCGAGUGAAGCGGGAAGAGCUCAAAUUUGAAAUCUUAAAGGGUUUCCCUUUACGAAUUGUAGUUUAAAGAAGUGUUUUCUGUUGAGGUUUUGGUAAAAGUUCUUUGGAAUAGGACAUCAUAGAGGGUGAGAAUCCCGUAUUUGACCUUUACUUUCAACUUUGUGAUACACUUUCAAAGAGUCGGAUUGUUUGGGAAUGCAGUCCAAAAUGGGUGGUAAGUUUCAUCUAAAGCUAAAUAUUGGCGAGAGACCGAUAGCGAACAAGUACCGUGAGGGAAAGAUGAAAAGAACUUUGAAAGGAGAGUUAAACAGUACGUGAAAUUGUCAAAAGGGAAGCGUUUGACACCAGUGUUGUUUUUCUGAAAAUCAAUUAAAGAACUGUUUAUGCUAAGCUGUUUAGACUUUAUCAGCUAUCUGUUUAGUUUUGAGCUCUUCUUUAAUGCACUUUUCAGUUAACAAGUCAACAUCAAUUUCUUUUGCUGUAAAAAAGCUUGAGGAAGGUGGCUUGAGAUUCGUCUUAAGUGUUUAUAGCCUCUUGCCUAUGCAGUCGGAGAGAUUGAGGUCUGCAGCGUAGAUCCUUCGGGGCUAAAUGCAUUUGUGCUAAGUUAUAGCAUUUCGUAGACAACUUGUUGACUAUGAUUUGUCUUGUAGCUUACUCGCUUAUGUUAUUUUACCUACGCUUAGGAUGUUGACAGCAGUAUAGACUGU